This 1356-nucleotide long non-coding RNA is filed under the name Monodelphis domestica (gray short-tailed opossum). RNAcentral's name for it is "lncRNA (ENSMODG00000032447.2)". Lineage: Eukaryota; Metazoa; Chordata; Mammalia; Didelphimorphia; Didelphidae. The record is from RNAcentral.
CUCAUUUUCUUUAAUCUGGCUCUGCCUUUCUCUUGCUUUAUUGAAAUGGCUAUCAUUCAGAGAGCAUUUUCUUAUACCAAUUUCACUAUUUCCCAAGCUUUUUCUAUUAUUUUUAUCUGUAGCCUCAUUAUUACUACUUUUUCUACCUCCAAGUGUCACCCUAUGUGCCUGGCUUCAUAAUUCUCUUCUAAACACAUCUGAAUACUUUGGCUUUGCUCCAGUUGUUAUAGCAUUUUGUAUUUCACUCAAAUCAGGAGCUUGCUGUGAGGACUUUAACUUGCAGUGUGAACAGUAAGUAGAUUUCUUGUAUCUAUUUCUGCAUUAUGUUUGUCUCUGUUAUUAGUCUUACGUUUCUUCUUCAAAAAGCAGCUUCUAAACCAGACUGUAUAGUUAAAAAGAGAAUAGAAAGAAGGAAAGUAGAAGCACCUUUUAUGAGCAUCCUCAAGGAUUUCAGUCAGAAAAGAGAAGAGAGACAGGAGAAUAUAGCUCUCAGGGACAGGUGGAUAAAAUGAAGGGUUUUUCCAGAUGGGGAAGUAAUAAAGCUGUCAUUAGAUUAGAAGAGUUUGAAAAAAUGAGAAUAUGGAAGUACUAGAGAGAUUCUCUGCUCGAUGAAUGAUGAAGAAAAAAGAGCAUAUUUUGGAGUUUCCUUCAAAAUAUAAGGGAACAACAUAUUGUCCUUUCUACCCCGAGUCCUGUGGCUGAGAUUUAUGUUCUCACUUAUUCUUCUAGAGAGUGACAUUGGUAUAGGGCCCUUCACCCAUAUCCCAGACCAUGGAGCACCAGGAGACAUGACAUCAGUGACCAGUGAAUCUACUGUAUGUGCCAUGGGAUUCUCUACUGAGACUUCAGGGACACUGAAGAAAGUGAGUGGAUCUGACCAGGGAAGAGAACCAACAAACUCCACCAGUAUCCCUAUGACUGGCUUUAUCGGGAGAGAUUCCAUUGCUGACACUGAAAAGGACAUACGUGUCAUGGAGACAACUCCAAGAGCCACAGCCACUCAAGACCCACUUCUCACUGUUUGCACUGGAGCAGGUGACCUCAUCCCUGGGAUGCACAGGAGAACUGUGUCCUCUCCCACCGAAACCUCAGUUCCAUCUGAGAUAUCCUCUGGAGUCACCAUUGCCAUUGCAAGGACCUCACUCUCCAUGACUCCAGUAGAAAUCACAGCUAGCCCCGGCUCCAGUGCUCCCUUAAACAUCAGCCUAAGCACAAGAACAGCUUCCCUUGAGCCUGCUACUUCGUUGGAGGACCCAGGGCCAGCCGGCCUGCCUCCAGAAACUGAGAGAAACCCACAGGCAACACCAACUCCAGCUAUCACCCUGCCUCCAGCCAGCACACAGGAAGUUUGCACAA